Molecule: long non-coding RNA, 331 nt
Filed under: Apteryx owenii (little spotted kiwi)
Lineage: Eukaryota; Metazoa; Chordata; Aves; Apterygiformes; Apterygidae
Description: lncRNA (ENSAOWG00000001146.1)
Source: RNAcentral
AUUGCCUGCGAUACGAAGUGGUGCCUUCGUUGCGCAAAAAAAGUAUUGAUGCAGGUCUUUGAGGCAAUUUUCACAGCCUGAAAGUGGGGCAGGAGGAGCAGGGAUGGACUGCUACCAAUCCCAGGAAGCUGGCUUGGAAAUGAUGGAUAAACAGGGAGGAGGAAGAGGAGGAACCACCCUUCCCACGCAGCCCAAAACAAAGGUUUCAGACUCUCCCCCUGCGUUGGGACAUGGCCUGAUGCCAGCAGUGAGAGCUGUCACCCAGUCUGUGUGCCCUCUUGCUCAUGUAUCCUGGGCUCUCUCUGAUCGCUGGGGCCUGGACUCCCACUGA